CCUACGGGAGGCAGCAGUGGGGAAUAUUGGACAAUGGGCGAAAGCCUGAUCCAGCAAUACCGCGUGUGUGAAGAAGGCCUUCGGGUUGUAAAGCACUUUAAGUUGGGAAGAAAAAGCUUCACCUAAUACGUGGAGCCUUGACGGUACCGACAGAAUAAGCACCGGCUAACUCUGUGCCAGCAGCCGCGGUAAUACAGAGGGUGCUAGCGUUAAUCGGAUUUACUGGGCGUAAAGCGUGCGUAGGCGGUUUGAUAAGUCGAUUGUGAAAGCCCCGGGCUCAACCUGGGAAUUGCGGUCGAUACUGUCAGACUCGAAAACGGUAGAGGGAGGCGGAACUCCAGGUGUAGCGGUGAAAUGCGUAGAUAUCUGGAAGAACACCGAUGGCGAAGGCAACCUCCUGGGCCUGUUUUGACGCUGAGGCACGAAAGCGUGGGUAGCAAACAGGAUUAGAUACCCUGGUAGUCCACGCCGUAAACGAUGAGAACUUGACGUUGGUUUGCUUAGCAAAUCGGUGUCGUAGCUAACGCGAUAAGUUCUCCGCCUGGGGAGUACGGCCGCAAGGUUGAAACUCAAAGGAAUUGACGG
Molecule: ribosomal RNA, 585 nt
Filed under: uncultured bacterium
Lineage: Bacteria
Description: bacterial SSU rRNA
Rfam family: Bacterial small subunit ribosomal RNA
Source: RNAcentral